RNAcentral lists this ribosomal RNA (770 nucleotides) under Bacillus amyloliquefaciens. RNAcentral describes it as "bacterial SSU rRNA". It matches the Rfam family "Bacterial small subunit ribosomal RNA", at positions 64 to 816 of the family's 1533-position model. Lineage: Bacteria; Bacillati; Bacillota; Bacilli; Caryophanales; Bacillaceae. The record is from RNAcentral.
GAGCGGACAGAUGGGAGCUUGCUCCCUGAUGUUAGCGGCGGACGGGUGAGUAACACGUGGGUAACCUGCCUGUAAGACUGGGAUAACUCCGGGAAACCGGGGCUAAUACCGGAUGGUUGUCUGAACCGCAUGGUUCAGACAUAAAAGGUGGCUUCGGCUACCACUUACAGAUGGACCCGCGGCGCAUUAGCUAGUUGGUGAGGUAACGGCUCACCAAGGCGACGAUGCGUAGCCGACCUGAGAGGGUGAUCGGCCACACUGGGACUGAGACACGGCCCAGACUCCUACGGGAGGCAGCAGUAGGGAAUCUUCCGCAAUGGACGAAAGUCUGACGGAGCAACGCCGCGUGAGUGAUGAAGGUUUUCGGAUCGUAAAGCUCUGUUGUUAGGGAAGAACAAGUGCCGUUCAAAUAGGGCGGCACCUUGACGGUACCUAACCAGAAAGCCACGGCUAACUACGUGCCAGCAGCCGCGGUAAUACGUAGGUGGCAAGCGUUGUCCGGAAUUAUUGGGCGUAAAGGGCUCGCAGGCGGUUUCUUAAGUCUGAUGUGAAAGCCCCCGGCUCAACCGGGGAGGGUCAUUGGAAACUGGGGAACUUGAGUGCAGAAGAGGAGAGUGGAAUUCCACGUGUAGCGGUGAAAUGCGUAGAGAUGUGGAGGAACACCAGUGGCGAAGGCGACUCUCUGGUCUGUAACUGACGCUGAGGAGCGAAAGCGUGGGGAGCGAACAGGAUUAGAUACCCUGGUAGUCCACGCCGUAAACGAUGAGUGC